Long non-coding RNA from Lycium barbarum (goji berry), 582 nucleotides. RefSeq lists it as uncharacterized. The record is from RefSeq and is a predicted model, not a curated record. NCBI's taxonomy places the organism in Eukaryota, Viridiplantae, Streptophyta, Magnoliopsida, Solanales, Solanaceae. The transcript is spliced from 3 exons.
UCAAAAAUUUUGAAAGAAAGGCAAUUGGGAGCUCUCGGCCAUGGAGCAUUCCAGCCGAGAAUUAGCUUAGAAAAGGGAGCAAUUAAGCGUUGUGAUGUUGUGCACAUUCAAGGAAUUAACAAUAUUAAGGAGCCAAGUUUAUUAAGGUUAAAAGAGCGACAAAGUAAACGGAUUAGCGAGUAGUCGUUAAACAGAUGCAGAUACUUGCUUUGGUGAUCCGCCAGCUUAGGAUUCCCCUUCUGCUGCCUUGGAGAGCUCCGUUGUUCCGGAGUUUAGACUUUUGGUUUGAAUCUUAUGGUAUAUAUAUGUAUAUGUUAUCCAGGGGUACGACGGGGCCCUAUCCCGUCAUAUUUCACUAUUCGUACUCUUAGAGGUCGGUAGACAUAUGUGUGGGUUGUGUAUGGGUUUUGUUCAGCUGUGUCUAUACGAUGUGCUGUGGUAUGAUGUUCGUCUAUAGUGGCAGCCUUGUCGGCUUGCAUAUGAUAUUGAUAUGUGAUGGCAGCCUUGUCGGCUUGCGUAUUAUUUCAUGAUGUGACCAGUUGUGACUCCUCAGGAGACAGUGUAUCUGAAUAUACAUAUAUG